RNAcentral lists this long non-coding RNA (13291 nucleotides) under Brachypodium distachyon (stiff brome). RNAcentral's name for it is "long non-coding RNA (BDIS_LNC003394)". The stretch from base 6039 to 6174 matches the Rfam family "MIR1120/MIR1122 microRNA precursor family". The record is from RNAcentral. Lineage: Eukaryota; Viridiplantae; Streptophyta; Magnoliopsida; Poales; Poaceae.
UUUUAUCAGGUUGGAUGUAGGCGACGGAAAAGAUGUCACCUUAGAAGAGCAUUGUUCCAGACGGAAGCUGCACAAGCAAUGCAUCAAGUACCUUGGUCCUGUAAGUUCCACAAUUUUCUCUUCUGAUCCCAAGAUCUGAACCAACCAUUUGGAAGCUUCCUUCUAACAGGACACAUGCUGCUGGAAUUCUGCAGAAAGAGAGGGAGCCCUACGAAGUGAUUGUCGUUGACGCGAGGCUGAUGUACAAGGUAAGCCAUCAGAUCGUCGACACCACCAGAGGCCCCAAGGGAACAAAAUGGAUCUUUGUGCUGAGCACAUGCAAGGCCCUGUAUAUCGGUCAGGUCAAUGACUACUUGACUCACUUCUAUCGACGAAUUUAUUCAACCUUGGGAAUAUUCCAGUAACUAAUGAGAAACUGAAGUUUCCAACAUCAUUGCAGAAGAAGAAGGGCACAUUCCAGCACUCCAGCUUCCUUGCAGGGGGAGCCACAUCUGCUGCAGGGAGAUUAGUGGUAGAGAAUGGAACUAUGAAGGUAUCAAGGGGACUGUAUCUUUUCUUAAGUAUAUUAACACAGAAAUUGUUAUUCCCUGACUUGGGGGAUUGCUCAUUUCAGGCUGUCUGGCCUCAUAGCGGACAUUACCGGCCAACUCAGCAAAAUUUUCAGGAGUUCGUCAACUUUCUCAAGGAGAGAAGUGUGGAUCUUACAGACGUCAAGGUGAGGAGCAAAAUGUGAACAAUAAGUAACAUCUGAUCUGCCCAUGAUUGAUCAGAAAAGAUGCUGACAGAGUUCACUCCAACUGAUAUUUGUUGCCAGUUGAGCCCAUCAGAAGGCGAAGGCGAAGGCGAAGGCGAUGCUGAGUUCAGCUUCAAGAGUAGCAACUCCCAGGUGGACUUGACCGAACUCAGCCAACCAGAAAAUAAAGUAGACGAGGCACAAGUGGCACCAUGCAAUGGCACCGGCGAAACCGAGAUAAGCAAUGGCAGCAUGCCCACCACUGCGAUAUCCAAUGAACUCAGAGCAAGCACACCAAGGAUCGUGGAGUCCUCCACAACCAAUAGGCUGCAAGGGAAGCGGCCAUCCAGGCUGCUCAUAAAUUCUUCUAACAGAAUUCUACCCACUACACAGGAUAAUAGAAGGACAUCACCGGACGCCAAGGACAUCAAUGAGGAUUCUGCCAUGUUCAGCGAGUGCCUAGACUUCUGCAAGAAGAACCUAUUUGCAGAGGUCGAGGAGGAGGAGGAGGCGGGUGAGCUAGUGGAGGUGCCGGAGGAGCUGAUCCUGCGCCGCAUAACCUCCAAGAAGGGCAUGAGAUCAUGCCAACUGGGGAAGCAACUGUCCUUCCAAUGGAGCACCGGGGCAGGGCCUCGGAUCGGGUGUGUCCGUGACUACCCACCGGAGCUCCAGUUUCGGGCAUUGGAGGAGGUCAGCCUGUCACCGCGAAGCAGUAGGCCAAUGAGGUUUUCAUCGCCAAGGCCAAGCAUGCUGACACAAAAUACUGCAAAGGUCGGUGGUACUCCUAUUUUCCAAGGUGGCGGCAUCCACAUGAUACCCAAGUCUAGGCAGAGGAGUGUCACUUGGACUGCUUUUUGAUGGUCAUGCGACUGAAAUAAACUGUACAUAGUGAGAGGCAAAGGUGAGAGAAAAUGAUUACUAGGUUACAUUUCUUCGGUAGGUUCGGUAGAGAAAAUACAUCAAAAGGAUGUAUCUAGUACCAAAGUUGCAAGUCUUGUCAGUUGACAAACUAACAGGAUGAUUCAGAAACUGUGUUUUUGGAUUGAAACAUAUGCUCAGAAGCUGUAGAACACAACAAUCUCAAAAAUCAAAACAUCACCUCCAAAGAGGACAAGGAUUCACUAUGAGAUUAAUCAGUCAAUUCAUUUUACCCUGAUGUGAAGGAACAUGAUCAAUAUCACAACAGGUGCACUUAAUUUCGGCAACAGACCAAAACUAAACCAGGAAAGUACCUCAUUAAAUAUCCAACCCCAAGCCGAGGCCUAAGACAUAACCAGUGUCCAAGAACUUGAUUGGAAAGCAGUACACUAAAGAAGGCAACAACCCAACAUUUUACUUAUCCGAGGUUGUUAAGUACAUUACAGAUGAAUUGGGAGGGUACAUUCUGGGCACAAUCUAACAAUACCUGAAAUGACAUCUUAAUAUCUUAUCAGUCGUUGAGAAGCAAUUUCAGAAUUCAACUGUUUUCUUUACAGAAAUUGUUGCAACCACUGAUGUUUUUCUCUAGUGAAAUUCGCAAGAUCUCUCGAGUUGGUUGGUCUACCAGCCGAUAAUGUUAUAGUAUAAUUUUUUUGAUAAUCUUAUAAUACAAUAACAAAUCUCUUCAGUCUACCAUUCUAGUAUUUUGCGCCAACUAGCAUGCUGUAUAAGCAAGGAUUCGACUCCUAAGCAGGGGUCACGAGCUCCGUCAAGGACAACUGGCAGCUUCACACAUCAGAAAUCCUGGUGUCUCAGGUACCUGAUUGUAGCUCACGAUUGAUUCCCCGUCUCAAUGUCUCGAUUCACAUUAUCUGAUCGCUGUGCAGGAGAUGAGUCGCCCUGUAUACAGCAAGCGGGUGAACCAGCCUACAGAGUAAUUCAACAAGGGCAUAGGUGCAUAGUGUCAGAAUACUACAGCUCAUCAUACCAUCCCAAAGUCUUCAGAUUCACCAAGGCAGUUAGGUGUUUCAGCAUUUGCAGUUCCUGGCUCUGGAGAUGGCAAGGCAGAAUGCUGCAAGCAUGGGUGGGAAUUCACUUUGUCAACAUGGGCAUAGAGCUCCAGAAAGAUUGUAGCACGCUUGAGAAUUACCAGAAUCAGAUGGGACUUGCCUUAAGGAGCACUGGGCUUUGUACUUCUUUUCUGACUGUGCCAAUUUCCAACUUAUAUUCUACAUUUACAGUGGUUGUAGAAGUGAUAAAAAAGAGCAUCAUGAUUGUACACAAUUCAUAUUUCAUAAAUGAAGCAUGUCAUGCACAUCUGAAACAUCAACGGGCGGUGGUACAUAUAUGACUUGAUUAAUUUACAUGAUGCUAUUCUCAGGAUAAUAUACCAAACAACUGAUUAUAUCAUUGGAAACAACGUAGCCAAUUGCUUUGAUGGACUAUACGCAGAAUGUUCCACUUGGCAUAAAGGAAGUUGAGAAAUGUGAGCGGAAGUGCAGCAUUACCAGAUGGACAAUAUUGUUCAAUUCACAGCCAUGUGUUGACUUACAUUCUAAGCCAUCUUUAAUACCAUAUGUAGUUACAUAAAAAAAUAUCUUAGAAAGUUUCUGUGAAAAAAUUUCCAUGGCGCUCUUUAAGAGUUGAUGAAUUACCUGCUUCAUCAAUUACAGGUACCAUCUUAUGCCCAUUACGUGGAUCACCUUCACUACCUGGAAUACUAUUUGUUUCGCAAUCCAAUAUUAACAGCAUGAUAAGGUUAUGCUGUUAUUGCAAAUUCCAAAUUUUGAAUGAAGCUCUCACCUUUCUAACUCUUUGCUCACAUUAUCUUGUAUUUCCUGACUCUCAGAGACCGGUGAAAACCUUUUUGCUCCCUAGUAUAUAAUUAGGAGAAGUGGCUAAGAACUGCAAUGCUGGUAACAAGAAAUGCAUAAACGAGUAAAUAACAUUUGUGUCUUGCCUGAUGUCCAAUAUUGCUGAUUAUGUCUUGAAAAUUCCGUAAAGCAAUUUCCAUGUUGUGAAGCUCCAUAAGCAUUGCCUGGAUGAAGAAGAACAGACAAGAUCAAUCUGACUUUCUGUAGUUUCAGAGACAAUAGGACAUGUAUGACAUCAUAAUAGAAUGACCUGCUUAUCUUUAGUCAGCCUCUCAAUGAUCUCAUCCUUCACCAGCAGGGCUUUCGUAAGGUAACAACGUUAAUGAAAAACAACAAAGCAUGGCAUUGGUAUGAAUAGAAAGUAAGAAUGAAUACGUGCAAUGCUUUUCACAUCGUAAUGGAUAUUUCUUCUAGUUGUGGGUGAAAAUUGUUGUUAAGCUUCUCAGCAUCAAGUUGUCCCUUCAAUUCAUAUAUGAUUCUCGCUCGAUUUCGAAGUUCAAGUUGGUAACUAGUUAUUUUGUCUCCCAAGAAACUAAGUUUCUCUACAUAAAUGAAUAACCAGAAUCAGAAAAACGAAUAAAAAUAGAUUGUCCACAUACAUGGUAACCAUAAUUGCUGUAACAUUACAAUUUGAGACUAAUGAAGCCAUAUUACAAGAAGCAAACAUACCAACAAAAUCUUUCUCGAGUACAGAAAUCCUUUGGACCUUACCCUUCAAAUCAGAGACUGAAAUAAUAAUGUGCGGAGAAUUAGUGCAAAAAUAAUAAAAUAUAUUGGUUGAUGUUAUAGCCAUAAAGUUCUAUUUGUGUCCAUACCUAUAUUUUCCUUCUCACAAACUAGACAUUCCACAUCACCUAGUGCUUGUUUCACUGCAGCAACUUCCUUUCCUACUGAACUGAACAAUGCCAGAUGAGAAUUUAGCUUUUCUGAAAUUACAGCAAUCUGUUUAUCCUUCAACUGGAUUGUCCAUUGCAGAGAACAAGCAGAGUCCUGCCUAUCAAACACGGUAUAGCCAAACAUCAGUUUUGCUAACAUACACAGUUUAGAACUCAAGGCUAUGUAGCAUAUACUAUUCAUACAAACAAAAAUAAUGUGGCAUCGGCAAAACGAAAUGGUAUUAAAUCUUUAGAAGUUCCUGCAUGCUACAAACCAAUGAAUGCUUCAUGUCAAGAUUAUAAAUACCCAAAGGCAGAGAAGGAGAUGACAGACAGUACACAAUGUACACAAGACAAGAUCGCAGCUGGUAACGAAAAUCAAAGAAAGUGGUACACUAUGAUCUCACACUCCUAGAGUUGUCCAUUUUUAUAUCAUGAUGAUGUAAAAAAAAUUAACAGAUAGAUGAAGGGAGCCUUGCAGGAAUAUGCGACUACCACAGAGACGUGAAAACGGGACAGACAUAAAAGCAGAAACAUGCCUCAUAAUGUUUCAUGAAAGUCUCCCUUGAUUGAAGCAGCCUCUCCAUGCUUUCUUUCAAAUCCUUUUCGUUUCUCCCAAGCAGCUCGUUUUCAUUUUCAAGGCACUUUACCUGUACAGUAAGAAAACAACUGUGAUGACUCUCCCCGUGCAAAUAAAUGAUCCCACACAAGGGGAAGAUUCGAGAAUUGGCUAGCCGCUAUUGCAUCAUGGAAAAUUCGAAACAGUAUUGCUUGUGUCAGAUCAGCUUUACACCAGGAUAUAAACCAAUGUCAUGAUUCAACAAAUCUAAACUUUAUAGACAUAUGUAAUCUAAAUUCUAAAAUGCCGCAAACCAGGGGUCUACGUGAAUUGAAACACAGCAUGCAGACGCCAGGAGGGUAAAACUGAACAAUUCCAAUACAUGCCACGAGAACAGCUACUAGCUAAAGGCCGAACCGGGGAGAAUGGAGGCAAGAACUAAGGAGCACGAACCCUGGACUCGAGCCUCCGCAGUGCUUCAUCCCUGGCUGACACCUCCGUUCGCAACUCCCGCGUCUCCCGCUGUUGUUCCUCCUCUGCCUCCUUCCAUCUCUGCACCAUCCAUCCGAUUCCACCCAAAACCCCGUUAGAAAAACAUGAAUCAUUAAAUUACAAAAACCAUGAGAACGACAGCACCAAUCGAAGCCUACGCGAGCCGCAGAGACCUGGCUUGCUGCGUGGAUUUCCUCGCGGGCGGCCCGCUCCCGCUCCUACGAAGUUUGGGGAGGGAGAGAGGGAAAGGAAGGGAGGGUUAGGACCUGAGAGAUUCUAGACGGUUCUAGAGAGUGGUGGGGUGACUCACGCGGGUGAGGCGGAGAUCCGAGACGAGGGCGAGAAGUUGGAGCUGCAGUUCCGACAUCGCCGCCGCCGCCGCCUGCCCCUCCAUUGCGCCGGGGCGAAAGACCGUUUCCUUCCGUUCAGCUACUCUGCUGAUCCAACGCCACUUGCAUUGAUCUGCAAACAAGACCGUUUUUCAAAGGAGUAUUUUUCUUAAGCAACUAAUUAGUUUAUGUCCUAAUAUUUUAAAAUGCGCAUCGAAGAAUCAAUUCUAUUUUUCUCAAAAAAAGAGUAUAAUUCUAUAUAUAUUUCCUCCGUCCAACAAAGGAUGUCUUAAUUUUUACUAAAUUUGAAUGCAUCUAUACACUAAGUCAUGUUUAAAUACAUCCAAAUUUUAACAAACUUGAGACAUCUUUUAUUGGACGGAGGAAGUAUUCGAUUUUGGCAGGAUUUUCCGGUUGUCACAUUUUACAAAAAGAACCUUGUCAAAAGGUUUUUUCUUGACUCUUGCUCUCGCUGCUCCUUUGUUUCUUCUCUGGUUCUUCUCAACCAUAACUAGCGCUCUGAAUAGAUCCGUAGGCUCGUCAGCAAUGAAGUGAGGGGAGAAGACAAAUCAGCUGCGAUAGCGCUAAUGCGUCAUUAGUAGCGUCUCCUCCGGUGGUGCAUAUCCCACUGGGUUAUUGCCUCUAGUAGGGUUCCUAGGCUUAACAACGGCAUUGACACCAACAUUUUGCCGUACUAGGGCCACCUAGCUAGACGGAGCCCCACAUAUUGAUUAAUCUUUGUCCGUUGUCUGUCGCCUAGCUGUCUCGCCGGACUGCUCACCCCUUCGUUCGCGUCUCGCAGCCACCUCGGCGUUGCAGGGACAAUGAAGAAGGAGACUAGGAUGUCGAAUGGGAAAGCAGGGAGGUUUGUGCAAAAUUUCCAUUCAACAAAUUAUUUAAUGUGUGCGAGCGUACCGACAUGGCAAAAGUCAACAUGCCACAUCAGUUGGUCAGACGAGGUCAAACGAAUCUAGGAUAGUUAACCAGUAAACAAAUAAAUUGGGACUUGGAUGUGCAUUCUGAAAGGCUUAGGACAGAGUUGGCUCUUUUCUUAAAAAACUAGGAUCCCAACACAUUUACACUUUUUAAAAAGUGGAGAUGAAAAUGAUUCAAACCAAAUCCUCUUUUUUUAGCUCCGGCGUAAACUUGUGAAUGAAAGUGAAUCACUUUUGUAUCAUUGAUCGAGACAUGAUCUAUUUAUACAGGGUUUAGGGAUGUCUAAGAGGUGCCUUUGUAGAAAGAAGACGUACGAUGCUCGUAAGGCCUGUACAUAAUGGUAAUCCUAACCGCUAACUUUAACAAUCUCUUUUUUCUCUUGAGAAUUCCUUGUAUAAUUUUGACAAACUUGUUACAGUAACCUUGAGGAUCUCCUAGAAAACACUGUAGGAAAAAUAUAAGGAGAAAUAUAGAAAUUUUAAUGUAUCACUGAAAACUCCUGGAGAAAAUGAUAAAACAUAUUUAUGACAUCUAAUCCCUUCCACUAAAAGAUUACAGUAAAAGAAGGCGCGUUACUUUUUUUCUCCUUGAUGUUCUUGAUUUACCAUUAGUCAAGUUUACAGAAAAAUCUACAGACAUAUACAACUCCACAUUAGUUUUAUUAAAUCCGUCGUGAUAUAUAUCUUUAUUGUAUAUUUCGACUUACCCAUGCAAAAUCUAUAAAGGCAUGUUUAGAAGUUUUUUUUUUAAAGGAAUAUCAUAUGUUGGAGGUGUGAUGCAAAUGUGCAAAACAGAUUGGUAUCAAUUUUAUAUGAUCACUCACAGCACUACUGUAGUCAAAUUUCACCUUGUAUGGCAUGUAUCUUUCAUAGCACCAUACUACUGUAGUACUCCCUUUGACUCAUAAUUCUUGUCGUGUAUUAUCAUGUUUUUCAUGUAGUAACGAGGUACCAUACUACUAUAAUACUCCCUCCGUCUCAUAAUUCUUGUCGUGUAUUAUCAUGUACCAUACUACUUGAACUAAAAUAGCGACAAGAAUUAUUGGACCGAGGGAGGGAGCACAAUAUAGCGUGUAUUAUCAUGUUUUUCCCGAGUUAUGGCCUGGGCAAAUGUGCCAUGGAUUGAUGGAUUUAGGUUGGAUUUUUGCUCUUUGAGAACUAGUCACUAACAUACUACUGGCAGAAUUGUCAAUAAUUUUUUCCCACACCGUCUAGAUUCUAUAACUAUAUCGGCUACGAUGAAGGCUGCAUUUUGUGAUUUUUGCUUGAGAAUCAGAUUUCUGUAACUUAUUAUGCCUUGGUAAUACUGAACCUAAAAUUGUUUCUCGUGCAGGGAGAAAAAGAGUACACACCAGCUCCUAUGCUAUAACGAAUGGUUCUAAAAAGAUUGACAGCUUUAGAUGUGUCGCACUUCAUAUUUUCAUUCGGCUUUAGCUUUUUUUUAUUAGUGCUUGCAACGCUUCAAACAUUCAGUUAUGAUUUACACAACUAACGUCAAAAUGUUCUUUCUUUGGCAAGUGCACUUUGAAAAGGCUUAAUGCAAAGUAAUGUCACUUGCUUAUAUCCAAUCAAGAAUUAUGAGAAUCUCACUAUAUAACAAUAUUUGUCUUCAUUCAAAUUUAACCUUUGUUUAUAUUGUCUUGUGCCAAUUUUUAUCAUUCUAUUGUUAAAAUAGACGGGUGCGACAACGCACGCCAUCAUGAUCUAGUAAUCAGCGCAAAAGAGCAGGCUUACUCUCCGAUCCAUGGCAAGCAUUAAGUACUUUUAACAGAAAAAGGUAACGGAGAGUCAACGUCAGUGGUAUAAAAUCAGAGCAAUAAUGGUUGUUCAUGUAGUAAUGGCGGGACAUAGCCAUUGUAGAAGCAAAUACGGAGUACUCCAUACAUGAGGGUUUUUACGGUACCCCUAUGCUGCCAGGGAGGAGGCAGUACAGAGUCUAUCUAGCCGUCGAUUUUUUUUUUAGCAUUUUAGAUUUUCACCCGUUUCGUUUCCUUGUUUUCUAAUUAAGUCCAUAAUACUUCUAAAUAGCUGUAUAGCACCAAACGUAGGAGGCAGGACGUCGUUCCUCGCCGGCCGGGAGAUGAGGCGGCUUGGUGGCGGCUAGGGCACGGCGCGGGACGAGAGAGAUUUGUUUUUCAGGUUUUGGCCUCCGAUCCCACCCAACUGUUCAAUUGAACUAUCUCCUGCAAUCCCGUUGUAGCGUUGCUGGUGCACUCGUCCGCACCGGACGCCAUCGAUCAGUGUAUUGGUCAACUCUACGAAGAGGAAUGACACAAAACCAUCCAGUGCUCAAAUCUUCCAAUGAUCAUGGAGUCGAAGCAUGAAGGAUUGGGCACGACUGCAAGAAACAUGCCGAUCGACUGAAUAUGAGAGGAGUUCGAGCUUGUCCAACGCCGUGCUAUGCUGCUUCAUGCGAGUAUUGGGAUUCAUGGCCCUCGUCUUGUCGCAGUUACAGAGCCGCCGGCGAACCGCCAUCUGCUUCCGUGCCCAUCUUGACGGAGUGGCCGAACGGCCCGAGAUGAACCUACACGGCUGCGCGGUGCUUGCCGGCCACGGAGCGGACGAGAGGUGGUAAAGACAUCUGCGAUACAAAUUUACUAUCUAGACCGUGGUCAAAGUGGGAAUUAUUUUUCUGCCUCGCCGAUUUUUGCCUGCCUCGCCGAUUUUCGUGGAGCAAUAUCCGUGAAUACUGGUCAUACUCCUAGAGCAGUAUACGGGGAUCUAGACCAUUAGAUUGUUGGCAAUGAACGGUUAAUAUUCAUCCCAGUGUACCAUAGAAGAACUCUUUUUCUCAUUAGUUAACAGAAAGACAUAGUCGGCGGAUUGUACAUUACUAUGUGUAUGUAGCCGGCCGGCCGGCCCGUGCUAGCAUGCUCCUGGAGACCUGGACAUAUAUACAUCGGUACAUACACAAACAUUGAGUCACAGACAAAACGGAGAAAUAAACCUUGGCAAACAAGGUUGCCACCAGUGACCAAACGCAACACACUUCAUAUAUGAGCUGUUGUUUCAACUUGCGGUUUAGGCCUUGCCGGACUCCUCGCAGCCAGGUGGCUUGAAAGCGAUGAAGCUGAUGCACUGUACUUGCCUGGUGUUGUCGAAGCCGAUGAUGCGGACAUAGGCGCCAGGGUAUUCCUUCUUGACCUCCUCCAACUCCUUGAGCACCUGCGUGGCGUCAGUGCACCCGAACAUGGGAAGCUUCCACAUUGUCCAGUACCUCCCGUCCUAGUACCCUGGGGAGUUGCCGUGCUCACGGAAGACGAAACCGACCUUGCUGAACUCGAGGCAAGGAACCCAUUUGGAGCGGAUGAGAUACUCGAUCUGCUUCAGGAGGGACUCCACGGUGAGAGGUGGCAGGUAGGAAAGGGUCUCGAACUUCUUGAUGCCCUCAAUUGGCCACACCUGCAAUUAGAUUAAAAUUAGCACACAAAGUGUGAUUUGAGACACAUAUCGAUGGAGUAUUUCACUUCACACAUAUCGGUAUGAUGAUAUACAUACCUGCAUGCUCGUGAUCCUGCCACCGUUGGAGACGCUGCCGAGGCCAGCGCCGGCAGAGCGGCGGCUGACGGGGAGCCCGGCGGUGGACUUGAGGCCCCGGAAAGGAGCAACAGCGGUAGCCGCCGCCGACAUCACUGUCGGACCCAUAGCAUCCACCCUUGUAUCACUAGAGUAUAUCUACUUAGCUAAUAUGCUAAGUUUGGCACGGAGAGAGGAGGUCGAGUGGACUUCAUUCCUGGUCACAAGGGUUUAUAUAUACCAUAUAACAUACGAGCAAUUUGUGAUUAAUUUGUUGUCGUUCUAGGAGAUGUGGAAAGGGUGGAUGCCGUUCGUUGGUUGCCUUAUCCGUUCUAGAGAAGGGAUGGAUGACCGACGCUCGCUCAGCCGUCUCCUUCGUCCAUCGUUGCCAAUCUUUCUAGCUAUAAUUGGAAGUUCCAAAGGAACAUACGGUUUCAUGCCUACUUCCAUCGGCCUAUCAUGUACCAAUCCAAUAAAAGGACAUCGUUCAACCAUCAAUCCAUGUGUGUGUAGUAAGUGAUUGGCUACGAACCUUCAGCUGACUUGCUUUAUUGGAUAUUUCUGUAAAGCGAGUCCACGGUGUGUGGGUUUAAAAUCUCGUGGCGGCAACUGUUGACGGGUGCAAAUAUCAGUAGCCUUAAAACAAUAAACUUUACUCCGUCCCUUCCGAAAUGCAAGAAUGUCCUAAGUCAAACUUCUUAUGCUGCAGGACCAUAGUUUUUGAGGUGUUCUUCUCACGAGUCCACGAAGAACGGGAAUUUUUUGGUGUCGGGUAAGGGCGGGGGAAUAUAUAGAUGCUAGCAUCAGCAUGACGGGCUAACGGGUCAGGUAGGAUUUUGGACGACGUAGCACCUGACAUGUGGGGGCCACAUGUAAGAAAACCUGUCAAAAUGUCAUAACCCUCUGUUUUGGUCAACUUGAUACAAUCUGAUACAAAACGUGUGGUUUUCCUGACAAAUUAGCAAAUUUUGUGUCUCUGUGAGAAGCACGCCCCAAAAACUGUGGUUCCGUGAAAUUUAUUCACUAGUUACACUUUAUCUACAAACAUCUACGAUUCUAAAAUAGUUUGGUAUAUAUUUUCCGUAAUAUAAUUAUUUGAUAUUCUAAAUUCGGGGAUUUGUUCUUAUAAACUUGGUCGAAGUUUAAAAAGUUUGACUUCGGACAAAGUUACGACUUUUUACAUUUAGGAAUGAAGGGAAUACAUUUUAGUAAAGCAAUUGAGGAAUUGACAGAAUUAAAUAUCUUAAAUUAUACUGGUCCAUCGUGUACUCAUGGCAACAAAAUAAAUUUAUAGUCGAAAAGUUGGACCAUGAAAACUUAAAACGUGAUACAUUAAAAUUGUUGAAUCACUCUACAUCUUGUAAUUUUCUCUUGCAACCUUCUGGCGCGCUACUCAUUCCACAUUUGGUACUAUAUGUAUAAAUGUAUAUAUAUACCGCAUUAGGAGCCUCUAUUACUGUUUUAGUAUAAAUAGCAGUUUCCAUCGACUAUGCACUUCAUUAACUUUUUCUUCACGAGAUAACUUGCUUAUCGAUUUUCUUUAAUUAUCCAGAUGGCUUCUACUAGUUUGUUUCCUUGCUUACUGGGAUUUCCGCAGACUUUACGGUUAGGUAUUAUUGUCGUGUGGACAACACGGUGGCCGGAUGUUGAGAUGAUGAUGUCCUUUAUCUCCGUGUUGCUUCUGAGGACUGCGGAUCCGAGGCUAGUGGCGGUAUGGGAUGCCUCUCUACCUCUUGAUCAGGUCAAUCCGGCUCAGCAAGAGGCGGAUCGAUGGUGGCCGGUGUGACUAGAAGCGGGGAGGUAUAUAUGAAACGUUUCUUGCUUCCAGCAUCUCUUCUAGCGGUAUAUAUGUCGUCAGCUGGUUGAGGGAUUGAUGGCAAUCGAUCAUGGCUACGAUGACAUGUAUACGCGCCGGUAGGAACACAUAUCAGGCAAUGUCGAUGCACCUGCAUUGGGCCCUUGCUGAAGGUGGUGGUGCGUAUGGCAGUCUAAAGAUUUAAGACACAAAUUUAGACUUAAAACUUAAAUAAUCAAUUUGUGCCAGCGGGAAACACACAAACACGUACCGGUAAAUUAUCAUAAUCAGAAUUUGUCGACGAAUUUGAUAUUCUUUUACAAAAUAUACUUAUCUUAAUAUGUAUAACCGGAGUUUAUAUUACAUGCCCCUCUCCCAACGAUAGUUGUAGUACUCUUAUAAUAGUAGUACUCAUGAAUACAGUUAAUCCGGGUUGUUGGGAGAGAUCACAUGCAUAAAUACAACAUGAAACAAACGUGUGAAAAAGGUACAUAAAAUCGGUGUGACCCGUUCUUGUAUUAUAAGAAAUCAACUUGCUUAGGCCUUGCCGGACUCCUCACAACCCGGUGGCUUGAAGGCGAUGAAGCUGAUGCACUGCACUUGCCUGGUGUUGUCGAAGCCGAUGAUGCGGACAUAGGCGUCAGGGUACUCCUUCUUCACCUCCUCCAGCUCCUUUAGCACCUGCGUGGCGUCGGUGCACCCGAACAUGGGAAGCUUCCACAUUGUCCAGUACCUGCCGUCGUAGUACCCGGGAGAGUUGCCGUGCUCACGGAAGACGAAACCGACCUUGCUGAACUCGAGGCAAGGAACCCACUUGGAGCGGAUGAGAUACUCGAUCUGCUUCAAGAGGGACUCCACGGUGAGAGGCGGCAGGUAGGAAAGGGUUUCGAACUUCUUGAUGCCCUCAAUUGGCCACACCUACAAUUAGAUUAAUAAUUAGCACCGAAAGUAUAAUUUGAGACACAUAUCAGUAUUUCACUUCAACAUAUGUACAUGAUGACAUACAUACCUGCAUGCACCUGAUCCUUCCACCGUUGGAGACGCUGCCGAGACCAGCGCUGGCUGAGCGGCGGCCGAUGGGGAGCCCGGCGGUGGACUUGAGGCCCUGGAAAGGAGCAACGGCAGUAGCCGCUGACGACAUCACUGUGGGAGCCAUCGUACACGUACGUAGAUAGCUAACAAGAGGAGGCAGGCUUGCUUGAGUGCUCUCUAGCUACAGCGGCUUAUAUAACUGUAGGCUCCCCACCCAUCCAAUAUCAGCACAA